UGGGCUUGACAUCCCACGAACCUUCCCGAAAGGGUUGGGUGCCCGCAAGGGAGCGUGGAGACAGGUGGUGCAUGGCUGUCGUCAGCUCGUGUCGUGAGAUGUUGGGUUAAGUCCCGCAACGAGCGCAACCCUCACCCCUUGUUGCGACCGGGUAAGCCGAGCACUCUAGGGGAACUGCUAGCGUCAAGCUGGAGGAAGGCGGGGAUGACGUCAAGUCAUCAUGCCCCUUACGCCCUGGGCUACACACGUGCUACAAUGGCCGGUACAAAGGGAUGCAAGACCGCGAGGUGGAGCUAACCCCAAAAAACCGGUCUAAGUUCAGAUUGCAGUCUGCAACUCGACUGCAUGAAGGAGGAAUCGCUAGUAAUCGCGCAUCAGCACGGCGCGGUGAAUACGUUCCCGGGCCUUGUACACACCGCCCGUCACACCACGAAAGCCGGCUGUACUCGAAGUCGCUGAG
RNAcentral lists this ribosomal RNA (460 nucleotides) under uncultured Methylomirabilota bacterium. Its description in RNAcentral is "bacterial SSU rRNA". It matches the Rfam family "Bacterial small subunit ribosomal RNA", at positions 976 to 1434 of the family's 1533-position model. The record is from RNAcentral. Lineage: Bacteria; Methylomirabilota (SeqCode).